RNAcentral lists this long non-coding RNA (2530 nucleotides) under Brassica napus (rape). RNAcentral describes it as "long non-coding RNA (BNAP_LNC022143)". Lineage: Eukaryota; Viridiplantae; Streptophyta; Magnoliopsida; Brassicales; Brassicaceae. The record is from RNAcentral.
UCUCUUGAUAGCUGCCCUGCUUCCAUCCGGAAGAAUGGCUUUGUAGACGUCUCCAAAACCGCCUUUCCCGAUCAACCACUGGGGGUCGAAGUUGUUUGUAGCUCUCCGAAUGUCUGCGAAUGCAAUCUUCAAGCCUAAGUUUAGGUUGCGUAGUGGCGAGUUAUGGACCGGAUCGAAAGGUCUAUUGGUGCGUAAUGGCGAAUUAUAGACCGGAUCGAAUAGUCUAUUGUCGGAGCUCCCACCUCUGUACAGUUCCACAGGAGACCAUAUAGUGGCCUCCUCCUCUGGCUUCUUCUUCUUCUUCGAUCUCCUCCGUUUCAAGAAAAAAAUGGUAAACAACAAACUCAAAACCAGGAUAGAAACAGCAGCAACACAACCAAUAAUGAUGUGAACCAGGGAACUACUUUUAUGAUGACGCUGUGGACGGCGAGCUUAAGGUCGCGGAGGUUGAGAGGUGCAUUGAGGCUGUCACGGAAGGACCCGCCGCGGAGGAUAUGAGGAGGAGAGCGACAGAGCUGAAGAAUGCAGCGAGAUCGGCGUUGGAGCCUGGUGGUUCGUCGGCUCGGAAUGUGGACUUGUUCAUCGCCCAUAUCACAACCACCUGACUAUGCUUCUGCUUUGAUUUACUCUUUUUUAAACCGGCGAUAACCGGUUUUUUGUUUCAGCAUUUGAACCCAAUGUUCAUUAAAAUGAGUAAUUGAAUUUUAAUAAAAGUAUUAUAUUUUUUAAGUUUUUCCAAUUAGUUUGUCUCAAACAAAAUUCAGCUCAUGAUUUUACAAAAGUUGAACCAAGCGGUUACUAAAAUAAGUAACUGGAAUAUUAAAAUAUAUUAUGAAGUUUUUCCAAUAAUAAAAGAAGUUGGAGAAGGUGACUUUAAUCAAAUGGUCUAAUGUUCACUUUUGCGAACUUCUUCAUCCAGUUCGAUUCGACAAAACAAGUUUUCUACAUUGUAAGAUCGACCUUUAUCAAUCUAAUUGGUGAAAAAAAAUAGUGACAAUAGCUAAUUCUGUUAAACAGUUCAUAUUAUUUUUGUUAAAUAGAGUUCAUGAAAUAUAAUAACUAAAAUCAUUACAUUUGUGAAAGAAAAAAAAGACUCCAAUCAUUACACAAAAAAAGUUUUGAAAAAUAUUUCAUUACUUUUUAAAUCUAUUAGUAUAAUUUUUUAUCAACUUUUAAAUCUAUAAAAUUCCAAACGGACCAAUUGGAUAUGAUGAUUUCCAUACCGGUUAACCAGUAUGGACACGGUAAGUUUGGGAAACCCGGUUAACGCAAAGCCUUUUUUUAUCUUGCUUCAGAGAUCUUCAACUGGGAGAAAACCCGAGUCUCGGAUGAAUCUCCAUCGCUGCUCUUCUUCUGAACAAACGAGUUGUCGCUAAACGAAUCACUCACCAUCAACCUCGGAACCACCAACGAGUUUCCACCUCCAACGCCAGAGAUCGUCAUGGUGCUAUCCUCGUGAGGCUCUCUCUGAACCGGCGUCAUGUGAAGCUGCAGAACAUACUCAAGAUCCCAGAUCACGUCCCCCAUGCUCGGCCUCUCUUCGCCGCAGUCCCUUAAACACUUCUCAACAAUCUCCAUGAACUUCCUCAAAGAACUCGCCUCGAUUUGACCAAUCAGUUUCGUAUCUAAAACCUCGUCGACUAUCCCUUUCGAUAAGCAGAACAACGCCCAUUCCGCGAGGUUCACUUCCUCGUGCGGAAGAUCGUGCGCGAGAGCAGGUCUCGCGCACAGAACCUCGAGGAGUACGACUCCGAACGCGUACACAUCCGAUUUCUCCGUGAAGAUGUGCGUCUGCAGAUACUCCGGGUCGAGGUAACCGAACGUCCCUUUGAUGUUCAUGCUGAUAUUGACCGGAUCUUGUUCGCGGACCGCGAGUUUCGAGAGCCCGAAAUCCGCAACUUUGGCCACGUUGUUCUCGUCUAGUAGUAUGUUUGUUGAUUUGACGUCUCUGUGGAUGAUUCCUUCCGAGCCGCUGUGGAGAUAAUGCAAUCCUCUGGCUGCUCCAAUGCAUAUCUCUAGCCUCUGUUUCCACGUCAACGAAGGCAUAUCCGAGCCGUAGAGAUGCUCUUUAAGCGUACCUUUCUCCAUAUACUCGUAGACAAGGAUCAUCUCCGCGUUUUCGUCGCAGUAGCCUUUUAAAGAAACGAGGUGUUUGUGCCGGAUUCUUGACAAGACUUGGAUCUCCGUUUGAAACUCUUGUAUCCCUUGUCCUGAACCGGUCUUUGCUCUCUUGAUAGCUGCCCUGCUUCCAUCCGGAAGAAUGGCUUUGUAGACGUCUCCAAAACCGCCUUUCCCGAUCAACCACUGGGGGUCGAAGUUGUUUGUAGCUCUCCGAAUGUCUGCGAAUGCAAUCUUCAAGCCUAAGUUUAGGUUGCGUAGUGGCGAGUUAUGGACCGGAUCGAAAGGUCUAUUGGUGCGUAAUGGCGAAUUAUAGACCGGAUCGAAUAGUCUAUUGUCGGAGCUCCCACCUCUGUACAGUUCCACAGGAGACCAUAUAGUGGCCUCCUCCUCUGGCUUCUUCUUCUUCUUC